ACUCCUACGGGAGGCAGCAGUGGGGAAUAUUGCACAAUGGGCGCAAGCCUGAUGCAGCCAUGCCGCGUGUAUGAAGAAGGCCUUCGGGUUGUAAAGUACUUUCAGUCGUGAGGAAGGCGGCGUCGUUAAUAGCGGCGUUGUUUGACGUUAGCGACAGAAGAAGCACCGGCUAACUCCGUGCCAGCAGCCGCGGUAAUACGGAGGGUGCGAGCGUUAAUCGGAAUUACUGGGCGUAAAGCGCAUGCAGGUGGUUUGUUAAGUCAGAUGUGAAAGCCCGGGGCUCAACCUCGGAAUAGCAUUUGAAACUGGCAGACUAGAGUACUGUAGAGGGGGUUAGAAUUUCAGGUGUAGCGGUGAAAUGCGUAGAGAUCUGAAGGAAUACCGGUGGCGAAGGCGGCCCCUGGACAGAUACUGACACUCAGAUGCGAAAGCGUGGGAGCAAACAGGAUUAGAUACCCCUGGUAGCGACUGA
This 472-nucleotide ribosomal RNA is filed under the name uncultured bacterium. RNAcentral's name for it is "bacterial SSU rRNA". It matches the Rfam family "Bacterial small subunit ribosomal RNA", at positions 335 to 803 of the family's 1533-position model. The record is from RNAcentral.